Molecule: ribosomal RNA, 276 nt
Filed under: uncultured bacterium
Lineage: Bacteria
Description: partial 16S ribosomal RNA
Rfam family: Bacterial small subunit ribosomal RNA
Source: RNAcentral
CUAAGUUUGAUGGCGACCGGCGCACGGGUGAGUAACACGUAUCCAACCUGCCGAUGACUCGGGGAUAGCCUUUCGAAAGAAAGAUUAAUACCCGAUGGCAUAGUUCUUCCGCAUGGUAGAACUAUUAAAGAAUUUCGGUCAUCGAUGGGGAUGCGUUCCAUUAGGUUGUUGGCGGGGUAACGGCCCACCAAGCCUUCGAUGGAUAGGGGUUCUGAGAGGAAGGUCCCCCACAUUGGAACUGAGACACGGUCCAAACUCCUACGGGAGGCCAGCAUG